UUGUGUUUUCGGGAACACCGGCUGAAACUUUUUUAUCAAGUAAAUCGAUAUCUCAAUUUUAUGCGUUUAGCUAAAAUUACAAAUAUCCAAUUUUUUUUAUUUGGAAAUCUUAUGUUGGCUGCAUUGAAAUAUUCCCGCUAGUAUCAGUAGCCUUUGCAUCAUUGAUCAAUUCAUUGUUUCUCUUUUGUUUUCUGGCAAUUAGACAGAGAUAUAGCUCGUUUUUUUACUAGUCUAAGCAAUCAGCUGUUUAUUGGCAUUUGAUAUUUGAGCCGGUGACAUAACUUUCAAAACAAGAGUUUUCCUGGAUUUCUAAAAUAUCCAGUAUUUUGGAUAAAUCGUAGUAUGUCGCAGACCAUCUGCACAAGGGGAAUCUCCCAAAGUGCUCGACUGGGUCACCGAUUGAUUAAGUUCCGAUAUGGGCCUAAUAGGAACCAGCAAACCCCAGCAGGUUCCCAAACUAUUAGACAAGGAGCUUCCAAAUCAACGUCUUCAAGUAGCCAGGAGCCAAUUUGGGAUUUUCAAAUCCCAGUCCGCUGGAGGCGAGCCCCACUUAGUGAAGAAGAAUGCGCUGUUAUUAACAAUGGAGGACCAGUGUAGAUGAACAUGUUUUAAUUCUAGUAUUUAUUACGAAUUUUACUUGUAGCUUAACCAUUGUUCAUAUGCUUAUUAUUAAAUAUACUAUGUAUGUAAA
Long non-coding RNA from Dendroctonus ponderosae (mountain pine beetle), 691 nucleotides. RefSeq lists it as uncharacterized. The transcript has 2 exons. NCBI's taxonomy places the organism in Eukaryota, Metazoa, Arthropoda, Insecta, Coleoptera, Curculionidae. The record is from RefSeq and is a predicted model, not a curated record.